Long non-coding RNA from Tachysurus fulvidraco (yellow catfish), 276 nucleotides. RefSeq lists it as uncharacterized. The transcript has 3 exons. Lineage: Eukaryota; Metazoa; Chordata; Actinopteri; Siluriformes; Bagridae. The record is from RefSeq and is a predicted model, not a curated record.
CAGGAGUGAAGCUGUUCUCUGAUGGACUGAAGGAUCCACACUGUACACUGGAGAUACUGAGAACAGAGUCUGAAGAGAGUCUGAUUGGACUCCAGUGAGAGACCCAGAAGGAAGCGGAGGAACAGGUCCAGGUGUCCAUUCUUACUCUGUAAGGCCUUGUCCACUGAACUCCUGAGGAGAUCAAGCAUGUUUGACUUCCUGAAAAGAUCACACAGGAUCACUGAAGCACCGUACCUCUGUUACCUGGUCUACACAGUCAGGAGGGAUCUGAUUGGC